ACUGCUGCAUCCUGCUGCCUUGG
This 23-nucleotide microRNA is filed under the name Branchiostoma floridae (Florida lancelet). RNAcentral describes it as "Bfl-Mir-103-P7_5p* (star (passenger))". RNAcentral also lists the same sequence under 1 other name. The record is from RNAcentral. Lineage: Eukaryota; Metazoa; Chordata; Leptocardii; Amphioxiformes; Branchiostomatidae.